UGAUUCAGCGGCGGACGGGUGAGUAAUGCCUAGGAAUCUGCCUGGUAGUGGGGGACAACGUUUCGAAAGGAACGCUAAUACCGCAUACGUCCUACGGGAGAAAGCAGGGGACCUUCGGGCCUUGCGCUAUCAGAUGAGCCUAGGUCGGAUUAGCUAGUUGGUGAGGUAAAGGCUCACCAAGGCGACGAUCCGUAACUGGUCUGAGAGGAUGAUCAGUCACACUGGAACUGAGACACGGUCCAGACUCCUACGGGAGGCAGCAGUGGGGAAUAUUGGACAAUGGGCGAAAGCCUGAUCCAGCCAUGCCGCGUGUGUGAAGAAGGUCUUCGGAUUGUAAAGCACUUUAAGUUGGGAGGAAGGGCAGUAAGUUAAUACCUUGCUGUUUUGACGUUACCGACAGAAUAAGCACCGGCUAACU
RNAcentral lists this ribosomal RNA (418 nucleotides) under Pseudomonas taiwanensis. RNAcentral describes it as "bacterial SSU rRNA". It matches the Rfam family "Bacterial small subunit ribosomal RNA", at positions 88 to 502 of the family's 1533-position model. The record is from RNAcentral. Lineage: Bacteria; Pseudomonadati; Pseudomonadota; Gammaproteobacteria; Pseudomonadales; Pseudomonadaceae.